GGUUAUGGGGUUAUGGGGUCAGGUAUGGGGUUAUGGGGUCGGUUAUGGGGUUAUGGGGUCGGUUAUGGGGUUAUGGGGUCGGUUAUGGGGUUAUGGGGUCAGGUAUGGGGUUAUGGGGUCAGGUAUGGGGUUAUGGGGUCAGGUAUGGGGUUAUGGGGUCGGUUAUGGGGUUAUGGGGUCGGUUAUGGGGUUAUGGGGUCAGGUAUGGGGUUAUGGGGUCGGUUAUGGGGUUAUGGGGUCGGUUAUGGGGUUAUGGGGUCGGUUAUGGGGUUAUGGGGUCAGGUAUGGGGUUAUGGGGUCGGUUAUGGGGUUAUGGGGUCAGGUAUGGGGUUAUGGGGUCAGUUAUGGGGUUAUGGGGUCAGGUAUGGGGUUAUGGGGUCGGUUAUGGGGUUAUGGGGUCACUUAUGGGGUCAUGGGGU
Long non-coding RNA from Tympanuchus pallidicinctus (lesser prairie-chicken), 419 nucleotides. RefSeq lists it as uncharacterized. The transcript has 4 exons. The record is from RefSeq and is a predicted model, not a curated record. Lineage: Eukaryota; Metazoa; Chordata; Aves; Galliformes; Phasianidae.